AUGUUUCAAGCACCAAGACCUGUGUCAGCACUGUGGGAAAUCAAGGGCAUACAUUUCUUAAAUCACAGCAGAAUAAAAUCACAGGACAAAACACUGAGGAUCCCUUUGGAAGGUGAAAUAUUAGGAGAGGUGCUCAGGGGACACAAACACGCUGUGCUCAGGACUUUUGCUCACAUAGGACCAGGGGUGGCAGCUUGCUGGAUCCUCACAGCCUGGGCAGAGCAAGAGGAAGGCCCUUACCUGGAGGGAAGAAAGCCCCAUUACAGAACUUUGGUAACAAAGAAAAAUGGGUGAAAAAGAACCAUGCUUCUUCCUGGAGUGGAACACCAAAACAGUGAUUAGAGCUGUAUCAUUGAUACCUCUGACUUUUCUUCCAGAUCACAGAAGGUGAUAUGUUUAAAUUCCUCGGUAGAAGAAAGACAUUCUCAUGGGAUGUUUGCCUACGUUUAUGCUGCACAACAAUGUUAAUGAUAGUUCACAAUAUGUUUGCUUUAGAUUGUUCUCAUGUAAAAACCCAGCUUGCUCAAAACCAAUUACUGAGACUAAUGCUUAAAAAAUUCUUAAUGCAUAGUUUUAUAGAAAAACAAAACUCUACUUAAAAUGUUUUGUUUAUUUUUUUUUUCAAAAAAUGACAGUAAGAAAAGCAGCCUUUGGAACUGCAAAGAGAAGUUCUGAUCUGAUGAUAACUUAGGAAAUGUUUUCCUUGAAGCUUCCCACACCCAUCUCUUUUUAAGUGAAAGCACAAAGUUUUAAGCUUUCUUUAAUGACUUUUGAAACACAUUUAGUGGAAAAAUGUGUUUUGAAACACAUUUAGUAGAAAAACAGCUCUAGGUUGCAUAAGUAAUGAUGGUCUUGCAUGUAAAAGUACUUUAAGAUUUCUUAAUAUUUUAAAAAAGUGAAGGUAAGUUCAUAAUAUCCAAAUAUACAAACAAAUUGGUAUGGAGAUGUUCCUUCUACAUUUCCCACCAAGGACAUAAUGAAAACUUUUUGAGAGUUAGUUAAUAAGCUGUUAUUACUGUCCUUUUGAAUAAAAGAGCUGGCUAGCACUUAAAGAUCUAUCA
Molecule: long non-coding RNA, 1061 nt
Filed under: Cyanistes caeruleus (blue tit)
Lineage: Eukaryota; Metazoa; Chordata; Aves; Passeriformes; Paridae
Description: lncRNA (ENSCCEG00000003463.1)
Source: RNAcentral